RNAcentral lists this long non-coding RNA (429 nucleotides) under Bos taurus (domestic cattle). Its description in RNAcentral is "long non-coding RNA NONBTAT019340". The record is from RNAcentral. Lineage: Eukaryota; Metazoa; Chordata; Mammalia; Artiodactyla; Bovidae.
AUCAACUUCUGAAAGACCUUUGUUCUUAGUACAACCUACAAAUUAUUUUACAUUUGAUCCCUUCAGUAUAAUGUCUAUAAUGCAGAGAUCAGAACAAGCUGUAUAAUCUCGGUAUACUAAACACAUAUAUACUGCUACACAUAUAAAGGCUAAUUGUAAUAUACAGCCACACUAAACUAGUUUGGAUAGACGUGGAGCCUCCAUCUCACCAGUUAAAGCCUUUCAUCAAUAUGUCUGAGAUCUGUGUGAGUUCAGGGAUUCUUUUAAAUCUCAUUUAAUCUGAUCAUUAAAGAAAUUUCAAUGGCACACAAGUAAAAGGUGGCUAGACUAGAAAAAAAAAAAAAAGUGUAUUUUCCCAAUUUCAACUGAAGCAGAAAAACAAUAUGAAGUUCCAGACGGUUCACAAGGCAAACCUCUCAAUGUCUCCUC